AUAGAGAUUACAUGAAA
Molecule: small RNA, 17 nt
Filed under: Arabidopsis thaliana (thale cress)
Lineage: Eukaryota; Viridiplantae; Streptophyta; Magnoliopsida; Brassicales; Brassicaceae
Description: ATSL125950
Source: RNAcentral